UCCUGAAGCUUCUUCUCCAAAUCUGGAAGAGACAUGCAAUGAUCCUUAUGUAUGUUGUGUGAUCCUGGUCUGUCAGUGUCUGUGGGCAAGGGCUUCAGCUGAAUUCAUGGCUGUCACAAUUUUCACCUCUCGCUAUUGAAGCAAUAACACCACCUGUUAUUCUUUUAAUUUUCUUCUCAGUCUCCUCAGCCAGUUUCUCUGCUUCUUCUUUCAGCUGCUUCACUUUUUCUAGUGUUGCUUUUGGAGGUCCUUGGGCUUUCAGCUUUUCUUGAAGAAUGCUGUACUUUCUUUUAAUGUCAGCAAACUCCUGUAGCAAAAUGAUGUUACUUGGUUUAAAAGCAUCUCACAAUUAAUCUGGAGUACUGGAGGGUACAUACUUUCUUUGUAUAUCAUCUUUGAACCAAACUUUAAAUCCCUCAUUCUCUUAAAUAAAACAUCCAUGAUGAGUGUACA
Molecule: long non-coding RNA, 453 nt
Organism: Pezoporus flaviventris
Lineage: Eukaryota; Metazoa; Chordata; Aves; Psittaciformes; Psittacidae
Exons: 2
Source: RefSeq, a predicted model, not a curated record